Molecule: long non-coding RNA, 1247 nt
Organism: Corvus hawaiiensis (hawaiian crow)
Lineage: Eukaryota; Metazoa; Chordata; Aves; Passeriformes; Corvidae
Exons: 2
Source: RefSeq, a predicted model, not a curated record
GGAGGAGGAGCGAGACUUGAGGCUUGAGGGCGGGCGGGUGGCGGAGUCUGGGGAGAUUCUGCGGCCGGGCUGCAGGUAGAACUUUCUGUGCGUCAUCGUGUCCCUAUCAUCGUGAUCUGCAAUCAGCUCAGAUGUCCAGCAGAAUCCAGCUUCCCUGUCAAUAAGCUCUUUAAUCGUUCCCGAAAAUCUCGGGUGAGUGCAGGACCUUCCCAGUGGUGUUACACGUAGACGGUCACAUUGGGAAAAUGCCGCAGCGUUCCUCCAGCAGGACACAGUGGCACCCAAGCCCCAGGCCUGCAGUGCCUGAGCGAGCGGAACAUCUCUGGGCAUCCCUCAUCCCUCCACAGGAACUCUGAGCUGCAGGAGAAUGCUCACCAGCUGUGCCUCUCCACUUCUUAUGUUGUGGAUUAAGAUGUAGUUCACCAUCUUCUCAGUCGAAAAAACAAACCUUCAGAGAUUCAUUUCCUCAAGGAGUAAUAAGAGAAUAUCGUCAUCUUGUGUUUCAUCUCAAUAAUUCACACCCUCUCGGCGUUUUUCUCUUCGCGAAUUAUUUCUUGAGGGCUUAAGUUACCAGUUUUGCAUUUAUUUUUCACAAAAGCAACUUCAAAGUUCUGGGGUUUUUUCUUCACUAUUACAUAGUCAGGAAUCUUGCUGCUACUGCAGAAAAAAUAACUCAUUUUCCCUUUAUACCAAGCUGAAAAGGCUCAUACAUCUUCAACCAGGAAAUCUAAUUGUAUAAAUUUUUUAUUCAUUUUGUACAAAGACAACAUUUUGUACUUCCCAACGAUUUAUUGAGGUAGAAGAGUAGGAGCAUUUUUAAGUAAUUAUUAAUGCUUAAAUGCUUGCUGAAAACAAUUUCAGGGUGCUGGAUUAGUCACAGAGGCCUUUUUCCAUCAUAAUUGUAUAUGAUCAGAAUGGACAACCAUGUGGAACUUCCCAGCUGGGAAUCCUGCUCUAACUAAAUGUAAAUAAUGUAAAUUUAUGGAAUCUUGGCGUCCUUGUUAAUGUGAGUCUAUUAGGAUGGCACAGUGCCUCAUCAUAAUUUGGCUGGAUCUUUGCCCUGUUGCAGCAUAGAUGCCAAUUAGUUAUUUGUUGGUUAUGGCCAGUGGGACACCUUGCUCUGGCUCACACCUGUUCGCUUCCUGUGCCAGAAAGGAAUUCAUGCAUACAGGAAGAAAAGUCACAAUGAGCAUGUGGAUAACGUUACCUCUCUAACAUAUUAAACAAAUAAACAUGUUAGAAACAAA